GUGGGGUGGUAUGCUGCCUUGGCCAAGCUCUGCCAGCUGAGUGACCUUGGACAAGAGACAUGAGCUUUCUUAGCCUUGGCUUCCUUAGCCUUGGCUUCCUUAUCUGUAAAGUAGGGGUGAUGCUAGUACCAUCUUCACAGGCCAUCUGGCCUGAGAGGGAGAACCUGGCACACCACACAUAUCCAAUUAAGCAGAAGAAGGUGCCUGACUGCAUGAGUGUCAUCCCACUGAAUCUUCUGGGAGGUCCUACAAGCUGGGAGCCUCGGGAAGAACAGUGGUGGCGCCUCCUGGGAGCUGGGCAUGGGGCUCCCCAUCAGUUCCAGCUCUGACCUCUCUGGGCUGUUCAGGAAAAGGCAGCAGUGCUAAUGAAGACACUGGAGGACAGUGUGGCUUAGUCAGCACAGGAAGGAAAUGACUUAGUGCAGCCGGGUGCUGGCAGGCGACCACAGCAGGGGCAGGCAGCCCAUAAGACCAGCACAGCCAGGAGGCCACACUCCCCCGCCCCACCCUGGGCUUGCCUUCUUUGCCCCUCUCUUUCCCUUCACCACCCUCCACAGCCAAUUUGCUUGUCAUCACCCACCUUUUUGUGUUUAACCCAUCAGCUCUUCCUACCUCAUUCACUAUUUUUUUUGUUUGUUUUAAUUAAGGUCGAAUGCAUGUCACACAAAGUUAACCAUUUUAAGGUGAACAGUUUCAGGGGCAUUGACAAUAUCGUGCAGCCACCACCUCUGUCUCAUUCCAAAACAUUUUCAUCACUGCAAAGUAAAACCUGGACCCACUGAGUAGUUCCUCCUCACUCCCCCAUCCCUACCCCUACCAAUCUACUUUCUGUGUCUAUGGAUUCACUGAUUCUAGAUACUUUAUAUAAACGGA
Molecule: long non-coding RNA, 873 nt
Filed under: Pan troglodytes (chimpanzee)
Lineage: Eukaryota; Metazoa; Chordata; Mammalia; Primates; Hominidae
Description: long non-coding RNA NONPTRT009375
Source: RNAcentral